ACGAGUUACUUUUCUCUGGCAAGGUUAAGUGUUUAAGACGCGAAGCCGAAGCGAAAGCGAGUCUGAAUAGGGCGAUUCAGUCGCAUGUCCUAGACCCGAAGCGAAGUGAUCUAUCCAUGGGCAGGUUGAAGCGCGGGUAAGACCGCGUGGAGGACCGAACCCACUUGGGUUGAAAACCGAGGGGAUGACCUGUGGUUAGGGGUGAAAGGCCAAUCAAACUCCGUGAUAGCUGGUUCUCCCCGAAAUGCAUUUAGGUGCAGCGUUGCGUGGUUCUUGUUGGAGGUAGAGCACUGGAUGGUCUAGGGGGCUUAUCGGCUUACCGAAAUCAGCCAAACUCCGAAUGCUGGCAAGCGUAGCGUGGCAGUGAGACGGCGGGGGAUAAGCUUCGUCGUCGAGAGGGAAACAGCCCAGAUCAUCAGCUAAGGCCCCUAAGUGGUGACUCAGUGGGAAAGGAUGUGGAGUUGCGUAGACAACCAGGAGGUUGGCUUGGAAGCAGCCAUCCUUGAAAGAGUGCGUAAUAGCUCACUGGUCGAGAGGCCUUGCGCCGAAGAUGUCCGGGGCUCAAGUACAGAACCGAAGUCGCGGCAGGAUUUAUAAUUCUGGGUAGGGGAGCGUUGUAUAUCCGACUGAAGGUGUACCGGAAGGAGCGCUGGAGGAUAUACAAGAGAGAAUGCCGGUAUGAGUAGCGAAAAGAACAGUGAGAAUCUGUUCCACCGAAAGCCUAAGGUUUCCUGAGCAACGCUCGUCGACUCAGGGUAAGUCGGGACCUAAGCCGAGGCAAAAAGCAUAGGCGAUGGACAACAGGUUAAUAUUCCUGUACCGC
Molecule: ribosomal RNA, 823 nt
Filed under: Chloropicon mariensis
Lineage: Eukaryota; Viridiplantae; Chlorophyta; Chloropicophyceae; Chloropicales; Chloropicaceae
Description: partial Bacterial large subunit ribosomal RNA
Rfam family: Bacterial large subunit ribosomal RNA
Source: RNAcentral